This 273-nucleotide ribosomal RNA is filed under the name uncultured bacterium. RNAcentral's name for it is "partial 16S ribosomal RNA". It matches the Rfam family "Bacterial small subunit ribosomal RNA", at positions 523 to 796 of the family's 1533-position model. The record is from RNAcentral.
AUACGGGGGGAGCAAGCGUUGUCCGGAAUCAUUGGGCGUAAAGGGCAUGUAGGUUGUAAUUUAAGUCAGUUUUUAAAUGUCACGGCUUAACCGUGGACUGGAAUUGAAACUGGAUUACUUGAGUAUGAGAGGGGACAGAGGAAUACCUAGUGUAGCGGUGGAAUGCGUAGAUAUUAGGUAGAACACCCGAGGCGAAGGCGUCUGUCUGGCUCAUAACUGACACUGAAAUGCGAAAGCAUGGGUAGCGAACAGGAUUAGAAACCCCAGUAGUCC